RNAcentral lists this transfer RNA (72 nucleotides) under Dipodomys ordii (Ord's kangaroo rat). It matches the Rfam family "tRNA". From Rfam's summary of the family: Transfer RNA (tRNA) molecules are approximately 80 nucleotides in length. The record is from Rfam by way of RNAcentral. Lineage: Eukaryota; Metazoa; Chordata; Mammalia; Rodentia; Heteromyidae.
GGGAAGGUGGCUCAGUGGUAGAGCACUUGCCUUGCAUGCCUGAGGCCCUGGGUUCAAUUCCUCAGCACCCCA